CUGGCUAUAUAUCUUAUCAGCGAAGAGAAAGUGACACAAAUUUAUCAUUUCACCACCUUCCGGGUGACCCAAAGGUCCGUUCUGAAUGAAUGGGGAAAAUAAAAGGGAUAUCAGAGCUCAGUUUCAGCUAAGUUAAGGGAAAUGGCACUAGUUAGCUAACAUUUUCUUUCCCAAACACACGGUUUAGAUGCCAUUUAUCAAACUCAAGUUAAUAAACUGACUCUUUCACUAUAUUGGACUCGUCACGAUACUGAAUUAAGGGAAAAAUUGUCAAUUUCUCGCUAACAUUUAAGGCACUGUUGAUGGCUUUCUGAAAACAGCGCUGAUUUGCCUUUUAAAUAAGAUAUCUGAAAAAAUAAGGUGAUUUUUUACAAGUAAAGUACGAGCACACACUGCUUAACAUCUUAUAAACACACCCAAACCUUAAAACACACAGUCAAUCACCCUUUUAAAAUGCUCCAGUGUCCAUGUUUCUCUGUUUCCACUUGGUUAAGAGUGAACUGAUGCCUUUCAUGUCCAAUCACAGUCGCUUCUAUUGAGAACUGGUGAAUACUAUGGCAAAUGUACAAAAAAUACAAUGGCGCCUAAAUGUUAGCGGAAAAUGGACAUUUUUAAAUUUUUAGUAAAGGGACAAAAUUAUUACAGACAACAUGAGGGUGUGCUACAGAGGACUGCUUUGUUUUAUUGCUCACCGGGUUACAUAGGCUGAAGCAGGGAAGCCCCCACGGUGUUAACCUGGUGUCAUGAACUGAAGCCUAGGAGGACACUGAAACGGUAUUACU
RNAcentral lists this long non-coding RNA (782 nucleotides) under Danio rerio (zebrafish). RNAcentral's name for it is "lncRNA si:ch1073-189m3.1 (ENSDARG00000102045.2)". Lineage: Eukaryota; Metazoa; Chordata; Actinopteri; Cypriniformes; Danionidae. The record is from RNAcentral.